GGGCUCGCAAAAUCGCCCGUCGGGCUAUAUGAUAACCCGACGGGCGGGGCUGAGAUAGAUUUUGGUCGCCCGACCGGAGAUAUCGCUAGCUCCGGGACGUCGGGCUAGAGAUUUUGCGAGCCUCGAGUUGUGUAUUAGUUGACAAAUAAAUAAAUAAAACCCCAAUAAUCUGACAAUUCCCUCUGAGCAAGCACUCGGCGACAGUGGGGAGGAAAAACUUUCUUUUAAAAGCAAGAAACCUCCGGCAGAACCAGGCUCAGUGAGGGACGGCCAUCUGCCUCGACCGGUCGUGGGAUUUUUAAAGUGACUCAUUGGAUGUGAAAUAAAUUAGCUUGUUUGAAUCGUUUGUUGUUAGCCAAUUUAAAGAGUCACUUUGAUGUCAACUAAUACACUUAAACUGUCCAAAUAAUUUUAAAUAAUAAUUUUGCAGGCAGUUGGAGUGGUCAGAAGCACUUGGUAUGGACAUCAAGUUGUUAUUAAGUUCUGUUUUUCCUGAGAAUUUCAUUUUUUUUUGCACUUUAAGUUGCUAUUAAGUUUCUCAAGCUCUUUGUUUUCCCUGAGCAUUUCAUUGUUUUUGCACUUUAAAUUGCUAUUAAGUUUCUCAAGCUCUUUGUUUUCCCUGAGCAUUUCAUUGUUUUUGCACUUUAAAUUGUUAUUAAGUUUCUCAAGCUCUUUGUUUUCCCUGAGCAUUUCAUUGUUUUUGCACUUUAAAGUCUUAUUAAUUUCCUCGAGCUCUGUGUUUUCCUUGAGCAUUUUCUUCUUUUUGUAUUUUAAGUUGUUAUUAAUUUCCUCGAGCUCUGUGUUUUCCUUGAGCAUUUUCUUGUUUUUGUAUUUUAAGUUGUUAUUAAUUUCCUCGAGCUCUGUGUUUUCCUUGAGCAUUUUCUUCUUUUUGUAUUUUAAGUUGUUAUUAAUUUCCUCGAGCUCUGUGUUUUCCUUGAGCAUUUUCUUCUUUUUGUAUUUUAAGUUAUUAAUUUCCUCGAGCUCUGUGUUUUCCUUGAGCAUUUUCUUCUUUUUGUAUUUUAAGUUGUUAUGAAGUUCCUCAAGCUCUGUGCUCUUCUUUAGGAUUUCACUGUAUUUGUAGUUUAAGUUCUUAUUCUGUCCCUCGAGCUCUGUGUUCUUUCUCAGGAUUUCAUCAAUUUUGUAUUUUAUGAUGUUAGAAAGUUCCACAAGCUCUGAGUUCUUGCUUAGCAUUUCAUUGCAAAUGUGCUGCGCGCCUGAGUAUUGUUUUAUCAGUUUUUCCCUUUCUCCUUCUAGUUCCAUGAUUUUCUCCUUCAUUUCAUUAGAACAUGCGUGUAGUUGUAGAUUUUUCCUUUCUAAGUCUUGGAGAAUAACUUGUGUCUUUUUCUGCAUUUUUUCCUGUUGCUGUUUCUCUUGAAGAAACUCUUUGUUUUUCUCCAGGGCUUCAUCAAGUUUUAGGUGAAGCUGCAGAUUCUUGUUCUCAGUGUCUUUGAGAUUCCCAUAGAGCUCCUGAUUAAUAGCUUCUGUUUGUUGAAGCUGGUAGGACAUUUUUCUUAACUGGUCGCAGUUCUGCUUGUUUGUUGUCAUCAGGCUUGCAAUAUGCUGCGGAUCUUCAAUAAAGAUUAUUUCCCAGCCCUUAUUUACAAUAUCUACACCGGGCAGGUUUUGUGUAUUUUUAUUUUCUUCGUCUUGCUGGUUUAUGAGACUUUCAUCGUGAAACAUUUCUGCAUUUCUGUGCAGUGCUUCAUUAAGCUUUACUUGCAAGACUUUGUUUUGUUUCUUCAUGGUCUGAAGUUUACAUUCCAUUUUUUUCUCCUUUCUUUAAAUGUAAAGACUUCUUUUUAAAUGUAAUAACAUAAAAAAAAAACCUCCUCAGCCAUCAAAAUAACUUG
Long non-coding RNA from Astatotilapia calliptera (eastern happy), 1850 nucleotides. The record is from Ensembl. Lineage: Eukaryota; Metazoa; Chordata; Actinopteri; Cichliformes; Cichlidae.